Molecule: ribosomal RNA, 308 nt
Filed under: Prodidomus rufus
Lineage: Eukaryota; Metazoa; Arthropoda; Arachnida; Araneae; Prodidomidae
Description: partial 12S ribosomal RNA
Source: RNAcentral
AAGUAGUAUAAUCUAUAUAAACUAAUAUAUAAUGGCGGCAUUCAAUCUAAUUAGAGGAACUUGUUUCAUAAUCGACAACCCACGAUCCAUUUUACUUAAAAUAAUACUUAUAUACCGCCAUCAAGAAUUUUUUAUAAAAAUUUCUCUAAAUAAAAACUAAAAAGUUAGGUCAAGGUGUAGUAAUUUUCAAGUGAACAUGAGUUACAAUAAAAAUUAUUUAAGAAAUAAAAAUAAUAAUUUUUAAGAAAAAGGAUUUAUAUGUAAAUAUUAGAUAAUAACAAUUAUAAUUGAAUAAGAUAAUAAUGUGC